GACGAACGCUGGCGGCGUGCUUAACACAUGCAAGUCGAACGGAAAGGCCCUGCUUGCAGGGUACUCGAGUGGCGAACGGGUGAGUAACACGUGGGUGAUCUGCCCUGCACUUCGGGAUAAGCCUGGGAAACUGGGUCUAAUACCGGAUAGGAGCCAUUUUUAGUGUGAUGGUUGGAAAGUUUUUUCGGUGUAGGAUGAGCUCGCGGCCUAUCAGCUUGUUGGUGGGGUAAUGGCCUACCAAGGCGGCGACGGGUAGCCGGCCUGAGAGGGUGGACGGCCACAUUGGGACUGAGAUACGGCCCAGACGCGUACGGGAGGCAGCAGGGGGGAAUAUUGCACAAUGGGCGCAAGCCUGAUGCAGAGACGCCGCGUGGGGGAUGACGGCCUUCGGGUUGUAAACUCCUUUCGCUAGGGACGAAGCUUUUUGUGACGGUACCUAGAUAAGAAGCACCGGCUAACUACGUG
RNAcentral lists this ribosomal RNA (465 nucleotides) under uncultured bacterium. RNAcentral's name for it is "partial 16S ribosomal RNA". It matches the Rfam family "Bacterial small subunit ribosomal RNA", at positions 28 to 507 of the family's 1533-position model. The record is from RNAcentral.